AGAGUUUGAUCAUGGCUCAGGACAAACGCUGGCGGCGUGCAUAAAACAUGCAAGUCGAACGGACUUCAGUCCGCAAGGACUGAAGUGAGUGGCGAACGGCUGAGUAACACGUAGGUGACCUGCCCCGAAGUUUGGGAUAACAACUCGAAAGAGUUGCUAAUACCGGAUGUGACCACCGAUUCAUUUCGGUGCUUAAAGUCGUAAGACGCUUUGGGAGGGGCCUGCGGCGGAUUAGCUAGUUGGUGUGGUAACGGCAUACCAAGGCUUCGAUCCGUAGCUGGUCUGAGAGGAUGGCCAGCCAGACUGGGACUGAGACACGGCCCAGACUCCUACGGGAGGCAGCAGUUAGGAAUUUUGCGCAAUGGAGGAAACUCUGACGCAGCCACGCCGCGUGAGGGAUGAAGGCCUUCGGGUCGUAAACCUCUUUUCUCAGGGAAGACACCCGACGGUACCUGAGGAAUAAGCAACGGCUAACUACGUGCCAGCAGCCGCGGUAAUACGUAGGUUGCGAGCGUUGUCCGGAUUUACUGGGCGUAAAGCGCGCGCAGGUGGUCCUGAAAGUCGAGCGUGAAAGCUCCCGGCCCAACUGGGAGAGGCCGUUCGAAACUUCAGGACUUGAAGGCGGGAGAGGCAAAUGGAAUUUCCGGUGUAGCGGUAAAAUGCGUAGAUACCGGAAGGAACACCAGUGGCGAAAGCGAUUUGCUGGCCCGCCCUUGACACUCAGGCGCGAAAGCUAGGGGAGCGACCGGGAUUAGAUACCCCGUUAGUCCUAGCCGUAAACAAUGGGCACUAGGUGUUGUCGGUAUCGACCCCGGCAGUGCCGAAGCUAACGCAUUAAGUGCCCCGCCUGGGGAGUACGACCGCAAGGUUAAAACUCAAAGGAAUUGACGG
This 891-nucleotide ribosomal RNA is filed under the name uncultured bacterium. Its description in RNAcentral is "bacterial SSU rRNA". It matches the Rfam family "Bacterial small subunit ribosomal RNA", at positions 8 to 916 of the family's 1533-position model. The record is from RNAcentral.